RNAcentral lists this ribosomal RNA (494 nucleotides) under uncultured bacterium. Its description in RNAcentral is "partial 16S ribosomal RNA". It matches the Rfam family "Bacterial small subunit ribosomal RNA", at positions 28 to 507 of the family's 1533-position model. The record is from RNAcentral.
GACGAACGCUGGCGGCGCGCUUAACACAUGCAAGUCGAACGGAAAGGCCUGCUUUCCCUUGUGGAUUGCGGGUACUCGAGUGGCGAACGGGUGAGUAACACGUGAGUGAUCUGCCCCCAACUUGGGUAUAAGCCUGGGAAACUGGGUCUAAUUCCCGAUAGGACUGCAGGGUGGUGCCUGUGGUGGAAAACGAUUUUCUAGUGGUUGGGGAUGAGCUCGCGGCCUAUCAGCUAGUUGGUGGGGUAAUGGCCUACCAAGGCGGCGACGGGUAGCCGGCCUGAGAGGGUGGACGGCCACAUUGGGACUGAGAUACGGCCCAGACUCCUACGGGAGGCAGCAGUGGGGAAUAUUGCACAAUGGGCGGAAGCCUGAUGCAGCGACGCCGCGUGGGGGAUGACGGCCUUCGGGUUGUAAACUCCUUUCGACCGCGAGGAAGCCACCUGGUUGGAAGGGUGGUGACGGUAGUGGUAGAAGAAGCACCGGCUAACUACGUG